AAAAAUCUUGCUCUGGUGAAGGCUGGCAGCUGUCAAUCAUCCUGCACUGGUGACUACGAAAGAUUGUUCACCUCAAGGGGCUCAAGGAGACAUCACUGAAGUAAACAUUCACGGCUACUUUUUGACAGCAACAAUUGAAUAAAUUAUUAUACAUUUGAAAUAGGCUUAGACGUCUCAACUGUUUCUAAAUAUGGUAUGAUUAAUAAUAAACGCCUGUAGUUAUGUUGGGCAGAAGAUCAGUAGAAUUUGUGGUAGUUCAUCAAGUAGCAAGAAUAACAAGGAUUUAGAUCGCAUACCAAAAGAUCAACAAGCUUGUAUAUUUGGCAACAAUACUGGUAAAGCAACUACUAAUGGACAAUCCUACGAUGAUCAACAGCCUAAACACGACACAGGUGCAAGUUAUUUAUUUAGAUCUGAUGGCGGAGGAACGAAACAAUCAUAAAAAAAAAACUACCUCAUUAGAAAGAGUUUAAGUGACAACCUCUCAGAUAUUCUAACAUUAAUCAACAAAUACAAUUCUGUUUAUUUGAUUAGGCCAUGCAAAAAAAAAAUAUUCUAGUUCCCAGACAGUCCUUCCUAAAAAAUUUGAUGUGGAAUGGAAGUUUUUGUUCUUGCGUUUUUAUUUUGUCAAAGGAUCACUACCCGUACUGGGCUAAAUGACUCCUCAUAAAUAUCACAUUUCAAGGCACUACAUUUAUCUCAUCAUGUUGUUGAUACCCAGUAUCAUUUAUGAUUGUCAAUAACAUAUUUGAUAAUUGAGCCUAUGGUACAUUUCUGGAUUCUUUCCAAAAUAUUUAUAGAGUUACUUCCUGUGACCCAAGGAUUAUCUGGGAACCAGAAUAUUUUUUUAUAUAGCCUUAUAUGAUCAUUUAUAAACUGACAUCAUUUCAUUCAAGGUGUUUGUCCAGGUAAGAUGAACUGUAUACCUGGCUGUAUCAAAAUUUGUAUCUCUUCUCAAAACUGAAUUAUAGAUAUUCUGAAAUAUUGAAACUCUUUCAGGCCUCGUGACAGAUGUUGGCAAGUAUAGAGUCAGGCCCUUCAAUAACCAAACAGUUAAGGGAAAUCUUGCUCGGUGACAGUGCAAAAUUUUCCUCAAAUAAACAGGACUUAAAGAUCCUGAGGCCUGGGAGGUUCUGAUAUUUCGUAUUAAACUCAAAUAAACUUACAUCAAAAUUAUAAAACAUUCCAUUCUUUGAAAACAUGAAAUUUGUCCCAGGAACAUCUUUCAAGAAGCUGUCAUUUUAACCCCUGAUUUAUUAUUUUUCUUAUAUAUUUCUAAUAUUUUUAUAAUGUUUAUAACAAGUCUUUAUAUAAGCGUAUGAUUUAUCUAUUAUAAACAAGCUCCUUAAUAGAUAUUGAUGGUUUGUUAUGUAGAAGGCUUAUUAUGAAUUAAAUAAAAUAUCUGAGAAUA
Patella vulgata (common limpet) is the source of this 1411-nucleotide long non-coding RNA. RefSeq lists it as uncharacterized. The transcript is spliced from 4 exons. Lineage: Eukaryota; Metazoa; Mollusca; Gastropoda; Patellidae. The record is from RefSeq and is a predicted model, not a curated record.